AGAUAAUUAGUCCAAAGAAAGACCUCUGAUUUCGGCUCAGAAAAAUAUGGUUCAACUCCAUAAUUAUCUU
RNAcentral lists this transfer RNA (70 nucleotides) under Petrocephalus soudanensis. Its description in RNAcentral is "tRNA-Arg". It matches the Rfam family "tRNA". From Rfam's summary of the family: Transfer RNA (tRNA) molecules are approximately 80 nucleotides in length. The record is from RNAcentral. Lineage: Eukaryota; Metazoa; Chordata; Actinopteri; Osteoglossiformes; Mormyridae.